GUUUUGUUUUGUUGUGUGUACCUAGCUAAUAAGCUCAUUUGUUCGCGGAUUCAGUCUUUGUGAUCAGCUCAGCUAGUCAUUGUUAAACUUGUUGCCGUGCAACUUAUAAGUUUUAGUUUUUUUCCUCUUUCAAGUAUUUAAUUAUUCACCUGUAGCUUAUAUCAUCUACUGCACCAUCACAGGCAUUCGGUCAAGGAGAAGGCGUUACAGCUCUCUUUUAAUUUAAAUUCAUUCAAGUCGAACGUUUAUCGUUAUUUUUCCUGUUACCUAUAAGUUUCCAUCUUUUGAAGAUUCAUGCUAUUCAUACCACCGGACACUUGUUCAUUUAUGAUACUCAUCUUUACACGGUUUGGAAGCAGUUCAAAGGAACUCUCUAAUUUUUUCCGCAACUAUCAAUAUUUUAGGAUUGAGAAAAUCACCGCACUGAAAUAGAGGAAUAAUCGUUUUCUUCAGCUGUAAGAGCCAGUUUUGUCGUAAAUUGCUGCACAUAAUUCUGCACCGCCUCUUAUGUUUACUUGUAGUCCUUCGCAUAGUCCCCUUAGUAUAUUCUUAUUAAAUUGCCUCGAUUUUUCUUAUUUUUUCUGUUCCUUUUAAUUAUGACCAUCCAAAUUUUACAUACUAAAAAUCAUUCUGGUCAAAGCACGAACCAAAGCAUGCAUAAAUUAUUCAAAAAACUGUUCCUGGCAACAAAUAAAUAUUUAAUGUUCCGAAAACUAAGAACAGCUGUUAAAAUUAAGCGAAUUAUUGUUGCUAAGUCCAAGAAACGUUUAACAGAAGCAAAGCCCAAAGGACCGGGUCUGAGGUCAUACAAACGAAAACAUAAACCGCUGCUUGUUCAACUAAUGGAAAAACAACUAAUUUGUAACGUAUGCAAUGAGCUCAAAGAGGGGUUGAUUAUUCUGCAAGCCCAUCGAAAACGGAAGAAUAACUUAGAUUCCAAUAAUAAUGCUAUGUUAUCGGAGCCCAUUUUGCCUCCGAAAGCAAUAAUAUUUAAGAAAGAUUAACUUUUUUUGUAACAGCUAUACAAACAUUCUUAGUUCAGAAUAUCAUAAAAAAUCGUCUGUAAGCAGAUUUUGCAACAGACAACUUACAGGCAUGAAGGAUGUUACAUUUUCAAGUACUGUCCUUUUGGGUCCUUUCAUCUAAAAUGUUUGUAAAUUUGAAGAUUCAUAGCUGAGAAUUUGCAGUUGGGCGUGUAGCAAUACUUAAACAAACAUGUAUUUGAACAAAGGGCUUUUUUACCUUAAAAUUGAAUUUUCACUUUUAGUUUUACUCGUGGAUAUUUUAUUGCAUUAUUAAAGUUUAUUUAUUCCUAAGUCCUAAAGUUGUGAAAGUAGUUUUUAUUUUAAAAAAAAAUUCCAGCAGUGUUCUUAAUCGGCAAGUUUUUUCCUUGUUGCGCUCUUAAUAAACUUGUUCACUAUAAA
Molecule: long non-coding RNA, 1424 nt
Organism: Bemisia tabaci
Lineage: Eukaryota; Metazoa; Arthropoda; Insecta; Hemiptera; Aleyrodidae
Source: RefSeq, a predicted model, not a curated record